AGUGGUGCCAAUAAGUACCAAGUUCUUUCUGCCUUUGGCUUCCUGCUUCCUUCCACUGAAUACACGGUAGCUAGAGGGAAAACCUGUAAAUACAUGUUGUGUGCCUUAAUGCACGAGAAGUAAUCUCUUACUACAGUUGUUUUCGUUUUCAGUACUCUCCAGAGACUUCUGAAAAAUUGGAGUUACAGAGUAACUAAAGGCAAAAGGAAAUUCUCCCCUUUUCUCCUUUCAAAUCUUUCCAGUUUUGGAAAAGGUUCAGGGUGAUUAAACUAGAAUUUUUUCCUUUUCCUUGUCAUGCUGCCCUGUGCCCUUCCAAAGGUAAAAAUGGAUUUGAGAAGUUCUCAACUGGUAGGGGAAAGAAGGAAAGGAAAAUGAAAAAGUAUGUGUUCAGACUGAAGUAAAACCCCCCAGACUUGAGUCAUCGCUCACCCUUCUUCAUUUGGAAUGAUAAAACUGCAUAAGUAAAAAGAGCAAAAGGGAGGAGAAUCAAAGCCUGGUCAUGACUGUUUCAAUAUCCUUAAUGCACUGUUGUUGAAAAACCUCUGGUUCUCCAUGAGAAUUUUCUGAACAGAGGAGACAGAGAAUGUAUGCUUCAGUUUCACCAAGAGUAUUGGAAAAUCUUGUGCAAGUCUGUGUGAGGUAACCCAGCAGGAAAAAUGUGAGGACAUUAAAAACAACAACAAAAAAAAACCAACAACAACAGAAAAAUUUUUUUGAAAAAUGAGAGCUCAAAAACUAGGAAUUAUUUUCUACAGAAGCAGAACUGAAAUUAAGCUUGUGAACUACUUUUUUGAGUUUCUUCUUUACAGUGUCAUUGUGUAGAGAAGAUGACGCUAUCAAAGCCAGUGUAUUCACUGAAUUUCAUCUUACAGAGAGAAGUGUAUUUCAAAAUGCAGUUUCCAUGAGAAUAUCUGUAUUGAAUCAUUCAGAGUUUCUGUUUUUGAAGUAUAAUUUCAUGGCUUUUCAGAACAUGAAAUGGUUAAUAGUUACACAUAGAGGAAAUCUAUGUUUUAAUUACGGUUUGCAUCAUAUUUUAGUUAUUAUAGCACUUUAAUGUUGAUACAGUUUGUCAGGAUGUAGAAAGUAGUUUCUGUGUAUGGAAAUAAAUC
Long non-coding RNA from Lagopus leucura (white-tailed ptarmigan), 1109 nucleotides. RefSeq lists it as uncharacterized. The record is from RefSeq and is a predicted model, not a curated record. NCBI's taxonomy places the organism in Eukaryota, Metazoa, Chordata, Aves, Galliformes, Phasianidae. The transcript is spliced from 2 exons.